CUCCAGCCAGGCACACUGGGGACAGGUGGGACCUCCUGGAGCUGCCUGGGGGGCCUGGUGAUGCCAGCCUACGGCAGUCAUACUGCCCACACUGCCAAGAGCCCACAUGGGCAAGGGCCAAAGACCUCCAGCCCACCAGCACCACCCCCUACUCCACCCCAACUUCAGGGCGUGCCUCCAUUUUUCCAGCUGUCAAGAAAGCCCUUACCAAGAGGCCCAGGCUCUGUGGGCUCCAGCUCUGCAUUUCCUGGUUCUGGUGUGGAGACAGAGCAUGAUGAGGAGCAACGAUGUGUCUGCCUGGUUCAUCGCUGAAUCCCCAGGGCCUAGCCCAGCACUUGGCACGUGGUAGGGACUCAACACAUCGCUGCUGAAUGAAUGAAUGUUGGCCCUGCUAGGA
Molecule: long non-coding RNA, 397 nt
Filed under: Homo sapiens (human)
Lineage: Eukaryota; Metazoa; Chordata; Mammalia; Primates; Hominidae
Description: HSALNT0290506
Source: RNAcentral